Molecule: ribosomal RNA, 497 nt
Filed under: uncultured bacterium
Lineage: Bacteria
Description: partial 16S ribosomal RNA
Rfam family: Bacterial small subunit ribosomal RNA
Source: RNAcentral
GAUGAACGCUGGCGGCGUGCCUAAUACAUGCAAGUCGAGCGAACAGACGAGGAGCUUGCUCCUUUGACGUUAGCGGCGGACGGGUGAGUAACACGUAGGUAACCUACCUAUAAGACUGGGAUAACUUCGGGAAACCGGAGCUAAUACCGGAUAAUAUUUCGAACCGCAUGGUUCGAUAGUGAAAGAUGGCUUUGCUAUCACUUAUAGAUGGACCUGCGCCGUAUUAGCUAGUUGGUAAGGUAACGGCUUACCAAGGCAACGAUACGUAGCCGACCUGAGAGGGUGAUCAGCCACACUGGAACUGAGACACGGUCCAGACUCCUACGGGAGGCAGCAGUAGGGAAUCUUCCGCAAUGGGCGAAAGCCUGACGGAGCAACGCCGCGUGAGUGAUGAAGGUCUUCGGAUCGUAAAACUCUGUUAUUAGGGAAGAACAAACGUGUAAUUAACUGUGCACGUCUUGACGGUACCUAAUCAGAAAGCCACGGCUAACUACGUG